This 159-nucleotide ribosomal RNA is filed under the name Triticum aestivum (bread wheat). RNAcentral's name for it is "partial small subunit ribosomal RNA". The record is from RNAcentral. Lineage: Eukaryota; Viridiplantae; Streptophyta; Magnoliopsida; Poales; Poaceae.
AUGAUUCCUCUAGAAUUACGACCUUUACCACAACGGUGUCGUCCAUAGAUCAAAUUAUUUCAUGGAUUGGAUUUCACUUGCCUGUCUACAUUUCCCUUAUGUGUGCUCGGAGGUGUUUUGCAUAAAUGUUUCGCCGUAUUAUUAAGUAUUCUCCUUUAG